This 4518-nucleotide long non-coding RNA is filed under the name Homo sapiens (human). RNAcentral describes it as "HSALNT0012583". Lineage: Eukaryota; Metazoa; Chordata; Mammalia; Primates; Hominidae. The record is from RNAcentral.
CUGGGCAUCCAGGUGUUUCCUUACAUCUUCUGAAAUCUAGGCGGAGGUUCCCUAACCUAAAUUCUUGAUUUCUGUGCACCCACAGGCCCAACACCACGUGGAAGCUGCCAAGGCUUGGGGUUUGCACCAUCUGAAGCCAUGGCCUGAACUCUAUGUUAGCCCCUUUCCACCAUAGCUGGAGCUGCUUGGACACAGAGCACCAAGUCCCUAGGCUGCACACAGGUGUUCCUUGUUCUGAAGAGGAGAAACAGUAAAAAAUUUGCCAAGGACCCAAGAUAGAAGACUGUGGGCCCAGAUCCUAAUGUAAAAGAAGCCUGCCUCAACUUAAUUUUCCUGGACAGCAAGAGCUAUGAAAAUGAACUGGGUGAAUAUUGGUGUUUUCAGCUUGAGGUUCCAAUGAAUUAGGACAAUCAGAAGGAAGAGUUUAAUUUUGGGGUCUAGCAUGAGACCAUUCAGUUCAAACUUUCAUUUCACAGUUAGGAAACUAGACCCAGAGAGGCACAGUGCUUCGGCUUGAUGCUAAUAGACUGAUUUUGGAAGGCAGUUGAGCUGGAAGACACAGAUCUGGGGGCUGUCAGCCAAGGGCUGAGAAGGAUGUGAAUUAAGAAGGUGGGAAGGGAAUUGAUGGUUAAGGCCUGAGUCUUGAGAGAAACCCAUGGCCAGGAGCAGAGGAGUUAAGAUUCAUUCAGAAAUGCUCCUACAGACGUGGGAGAACAAGGAUUGUUCAGUAUAAUGGAAGCCAAAGGAGAGGGUUUUGAGGAGCAAAAGACUAGCCAACAGUAGCAAUUGUGUCAAGGUGAUCAAGGAAUAAGAUGUAAACAAUUGUUGGAUUUAUAAUAUGAUUUUAAAAGUGCAGUUUCAGUAAAGUGGUAAGAAUGGGAGGACAAUCAAAUGGCACGUGGUGUGUGUGUGUGUGUGUGGAGGUUGUGGUGUGUGUGGGGGGGGAUGUAUGUGUGGAGAGUGUGGCAUGAGAUGCAUGUGCAUAUGUAUGUUUAGGAUGAGGUGUGUGUGGAGAGUGAGAUGUGUGUGUGUAGGAUAUGAGGUGUGUGAGCUGUGUGUGUGUGUGUGUGAUGUGUGUGUAGGGUGCAGUGUUGUGGUAUAUGUGUAUGUGUACAUGGUGUGGGGGGUGCAGGGUGUGUGUGUAUGUAGGAUGCGGUGUGUGUGGAGAGUGAGAUGUGUGUGUAGAGUGCAAUGUGUAUGGGGUGUUUGUAGGGUGCGCUGUACAUGUGGGCAGUGUGUGUGUAUUCUGACUGAAUGCUGAGCACUGGUGCUUGAGCUCUCCUGCCCUGCCUGGGAGGUGGUGUGUCUGAGGUGAGGGGAAGGCUGACCCAGCUGAUGGGUCCUGUGAGGCAGAGGUUGAGGAGGGAGCCAGAGAUGAGAACCAACAACAUGCUCCAGGAAGAGGGACAGGCGCAGAAGCAAGGGGACACCAGACUGGAACAGAUGGACUCAUGCAGUUGUUCCUUGAUGGCCUGUUCACAUAUAGCAUUUGCCAUGUCCCACAAAUGCAGAAUUCUGGUGGAACCACAGUGCGUGGAAGUUCCAGGAGACUGAAAGUGGUGCAAGGUUAAGUGUGUUACAUAUGUAAUUGAGUAAUCAGGGGUGCUGACAGCCCGACAGGCCAUGCCUUCCAUUCGAACCAGAGCUUGCUUCACAUAGAAAGAAAGCAAUGGCUUUCUAAGGAAUGUGGACAAGUGAGGAACCCUAUCAUAUCCUUCUUACUCAUUUCUUCCCUGUGUUAACCAACCACUUACGCUGAAAAUGAUGACACAGAAGAAAGGGAAAGACAGGACAACCCAUAGUUCCUUUUCCUUUCAGCCCUUCCUUACUCAUCAGUAAGCUGAAGGUCAAGAGUAUUGAUGGAACAUGCACGUUAUCAAGAAGUAAAAUUAAAACAGUUGAGUUAGUUUUGUGCAGUGUUCCCGCUGCUCUGGUAAGGACAAAAUAUAUACGCAAGUAAGAGCUAGGAAAUAUGAACUGUGUAAUUUCAAUGAUUCCACGUAUGAGUCAAAUGCACUUAUUUUCAUUUACAACUAACACUACACAACAUAAAGAAUAGUAAAAUUCAUACUAAUAAUUAAAUUUUAAAUUUUUCUUUACUUAAAAUGACAUUAAAUAUCAAAUUAAAAACAUCAUGACUAGUAAAAAAAAAUUGUGGAAGAAAGAAAAAGUUUUAUGCUUUGGUGACCCUUAAUGGCCUUAUUUCCCUCUGGUUUUUGAACAAGGAGCUCGAUAUUUUCAUUUUGUACUGGGCCCUGAAAAUUAUGUUACUGGCCCUGGGUGAGAUGGUUGUUUAUAUUUGUAUGACCAGGGUCAAAAAACAGUCUUGGAACCACAGGAGCAGGGAAGAUUCACCAAUAAAUUGAUGAACACAAGUCUUCAUCAUUACCCACACACACUCACUGGCCCCUCAACAUUGGUAACAAUGGCCAUGGGUGGAGAGUUAAGAAGAUGAUAACUCCCAGAAAACUAUGCUUUUUCUGCUGAUAACUCUUCAACAUCUCACCACACCCAAUAUCUCUGCUUUUGUUAACAAACCAUGAACUGCUUCAAGUUGUCAUACCCUUUCUCACUGUCUUUCUUCUGAUUGGAACGGCCUGGUGAGAGCAGGCUGGUGGGAACACACACCUUCCGAAAGGCCCUCACCACAGCAGAUCACUGCUGGCGUCCGAGCUACUUCCUGCUUGUCCUGUUGUGUCCUUCAUCAGUGACCGCACUCUUGGAGUGCUUGCCUCUGGCUCCUGUUUUCCACCCAUUUCUCAGCCUGGUAACUCCUGGUUUCCAGUCUUAGUGGGCCCACUGCUCUGCUCCCACCUCCUGUGAUAGGGUCGGGAGAGCCGCCAACCCCACUUGACUCCUGGACCCCAUCCAGGCUGUGGUAUGUGCCAGCACCAUCUUCCCAAAGGAUGCUGCCCCUCCCUGAGGCUCAUGGUAUAGCUCUUCUCCCAUAUUCAUACCCCCGUCUUGAAGCCUGGCCCACAUAGGGUUUCCAGAAAGCCUUCCCCGAACCACUAAUAGAAACCCUACUAUACUCACACCUUCCUUAAGAGAUACUUCACAAACCCAGUUUUGUGCGGUGCAAAGGGGAUGAAAUCAGAAAUAACAUAGGUUUAAAUCCUGGUUAACUAACUGAUUUUUGAGUCUGUCAAUAAACCUCUCUGUGCCUCAAUUUCCCCAUCUACAAAAACAGGAUUGUGAUACUUACCUCAUAGGAUCAUUGUGAGGAUUAUGAGAAAUAGCACAGGCAAAGCACCUAGGUGCUGCCUGGCAUGUCCCAGCACUCAGUAAAAGCUCCCCCAACACUUUUCUCCCCCUGCUGGGGUUGGGCACCAUGCCUUAUUCAUGCCUUUAUUCCUUGCAGCACCUAGAGUAACAUCUUGUGGCUGGCAGAUGAUCAAUGCCUGUGGAUUGAAUUAAAUUAAAACUUUCCUUGUGUUACACUGUUCUCUCCAUGUCCCCAGUUGUAAUAUCCUCUUAAAAGUAUCAUCGCUUGGCUGGGCACGGUGGCUCAUGCCUGUAAUCCCAGCACUUUGGGAGGCUGAGGCGGGUGGAUUACAAGGUCAGGAGAUCGAGACCAUCCUGGCUAACACGGUGAAACCCCGUCUGUACUAAAAAUACAAAAAAAAAAAAAAAAAUUAGCUGGGCGUGGUGGUGGGCGCCUGUAGUCCCAGCUACUCGGGAGGCUGAGGCAGAAGAAUGGCAUGAACCCGGGAGGGGGAGCUUGCAGUGAGCCGAGAUCGCGCCACUGCACUCCAGCAUGGGCAACAGAGUGAGACUCCGUGUCAAAAACAAACAAAAAAAAGUAUCAUUGCUCAGCUUAUAAGUUCUACUUCAUGUUACUGCAGAUUGUGACCCCCAAAUGAAGUAACUUUUGCUGUUCCUUCUUAUUAAAAAUAAUACAUGCUCAAUAUAUAAAUAAAAAUACAAGCAAAAAGAGUAUUAAAAAGUCUGAUAAUUCUACCCACACAGACAUAGCUAGUAUUAACAUCUCUCCAUUAGCUUUUCAAUGCAAUGCAGCUAUUAUAUCUAUGUGUGUGCAUGUAUACAUGUAUGUAUAAUAUUUUGCUGAGGGAGGAAGGUGGAAAUAGCAUAUUAAGAGAGGGAUGUGGGCUUUAGAAUAGAAAAAAUUCAGCAAGCCUGUGCUCUGUGAGUGUGAAAAUAACCACUGGUGUCUACUUAGAUUCAGUAGGGUGGGAGUCUUGCUGGAAAUGCUUUUUAAAUUUCUAGUGCCAUAAUCUUUCUUUCAUCCAAAGAGGAAAAAAUGAGUCUUUACGUAUUUUUUAAUGUAGCGAUAAUUAUCAUUCAUCAGCAUACUGCACACUCUUUAUUUGGGUGUUUAUUAAGGAUCUAUUUCAUGCCAGACGCUGGAGUUGGCACUAAAAACAAGGAUACGGUUACUGCUCUCAGUGAGUUUUCAGUCUGGUGGGGGACACACAUGAGAAAUAGCACAGGCAAAGCCCCUGGGUGCUGCCUGGCAUGUCCCAGCACUCAAUAAAAGCUCCCCCCAACACUUUUCUC